AAGUCGUAACAAGGUUUUCCUUCCGCUUAAAGCUCUUAACCCGCCGAAGCCUGACAUGGCGACUAUAAAUAACCAUGAAGUUUUGCCCCCCGGGGCAGGACAAUACCGCUGAAAUGCUGUGAUCAACGUGACCGUUGUACCAGCAGCCCUUCACUGGGCCCACAGAUCAAGCUGCGGUGGUCUUACCUGGAAUAACCUGGUAGACUUUAAUAUGACCGGUCUCGCCUGUGACGGCUGAGAGUCGACGUUCCGUAGGUGAACCCGCGGAAGGAUCAUUACCGAGUUAGGGUCUUUAAGGCCCGACCUCCAACCUUUUGUUUAACAAACCAUGUUGCUUUGGCGGGCCCGCCCCCUUGGGGCCGCCGGGGGUUUGAUCACCCCUGGCCCGUGCCUGUCGGUAGCCUUUUUAAAUUCUUAAUAAACGUGUCGUCUGAGUACAAAUAUAAAUCGGUAAAA
This 456-nucleotide unclassified non-coding RNA is filed under the name plant metagenome. RNAcentral's name for it is "partial contains small subunit ribosomal RNA and internal transcribed spacer 1". The record is from RNAcentral.